AAAUUGAAGAGUUUGAUCAUGGCUCAGAUUGAACGCUGGCGGCAGGCCUAACACAUGCAAGUCGAGCGGUAGCACAGAGAGCUUGCUCUCGGGUGACGAGCGGCGGACGGGUGAGUAAUGUCUGGGAAACUGCCUGAUGGAGGGGGAUAACUACUGGAAACGGUAGCUAAUACCGCAUAACGUCGCAAGACCAAAGUGGGGGACCUUCGGGCCUCAUGCCAUCAGAUGUGCCCAGAUGGGAUUAGCUAGUAGGUGGGGUAACGGCUCACCUAGGCGACGAUCCCUAGCUGGUCUGAGAGGAUGACCAGCCACACUGGAACUGAGACACGGUCCAGACUCCUACGGGAGGCAGCAGUGGGGAAUAUUGCACAAUGGGCGCAAGCCUGAUGCAGCCAUGCCGCGUGUGUGAAGAAGGCCUUCGGGUUGUAAAGCACUUUCAGCGGGGAGGAAGGCGGUGAGGUUAAUAACCUCACCGAUUGACGUUACCCGCAGAAGAAGCACCGGCUAACUCCGUGCCAGCAGCCGCGGUAAUACGGAGGGUGCAAGCGUUAAUCGGAAUUACUGGGCGUAAAGCGCACGCAGGCGGUCUGUCAAGUCGGAUGUGAAAUCCCCGGGCUCAACCUGGGAACUGCAUUCGAAACUGGCAGGCUAGAGUCUUGUAGAGGGGGGUAGAAUUCCAGGUGUAGCGGUGAAAUGCGUAGAGAUCUGGAGGAAUACCGGUGGCGAAGGCGGCCCCCUGGACAAAGACUGACGCUCAGGUGCGAAAGCGUGGGGAGCAAACAGGAUUAGAUACCCUGGUAGUCCACGCCGUAAACGAUGUCGAUUUGGAGGUUGUGCCCUUGAGGCGUGGCUUCCGGAGCUAACGCGUUAAAUCGACCGCCUGGGGAGUACGGCCGCAAGGUUAAAACUCAAAUGAAUUGACGGGGGCCCGCACAAGCGGUGGAGCAUGUGGUUUAAUUCGAUGCAACGCGAAGAACCUUACCUGGUCUUGACAUCCACAGAACUUAGCAGAGAUGCUUUGGUGCCUUCGGGAACUGUGAGACAGGUGCUGCAUGGCUGUCGUCAGCUCGUGUUGUGAAAUGUUGGGUUAAGUCCCGCAACGAGCGCAACCCUUAUCCUUUGUUGCCAGCGGUCCGGCCGGGAACUCAAAGGAGACUGCCAGUGAUAAACUGGAGGAAGGUGGGGAUGACGUCAAGUCAUCAUGGCCCUUACGACCAGGGCUACACACGUGCUACAAUGGCAUAUACAAAGAGAAGCGACCUCGCGAGAGCAAGCGGACCUCAUAAAGUAUGUCGUAGUCCGGAUUGGAGUCUGCAACUCGACUCCAUGAAGUCGGAAUCGCUAGUAAUCGUAGAUCAGAAUGCUACGGUGAAUACGUUCCCGGGCCUUGUACACACCGCCCGUCACACCAUGGGAGUGGGUUGCAAAAGAAGUAGGUAGCUUAACCUUCGGGAGGGCGCUUACCACUUUGUGAUUCAUGACUGGGGUGAAGUCGUAACAAGGUAACCGUAGGGGAACCUGCGGUUGGAUCACCUCCUUA
This 1540-nucleotide ribosomal RNA is filed under the name Klebsiella pneumoniae. RNAcentral's name for it is "bacterial SSU rRNA". It matches the Rfam family "Bacterial small subunit ribosomal RNA". The record is from RNAcentral. RNAcentral also lists the same sequence under 2 other names. Lineage: Bacteria; Pseudomonadati; Pseudomonadota; Gammaproteobacteria; Enterobacterales; Enterobacteriaceae.